RNAcentral lists this ribosomal RNA (1022 nucleotides) under Salmonella enterica. RNAcentral describes it as "bacterial LSU rRNA". It matches the Rfam family "Bacterial large subunit ribosomal RNA", at positions 394 to 1298 of the family's 2925-position model. Lineage: Bacteria; Pseudomonadati; Pseudomonadota; Gammaproteobacteria; Enterobacterales; Enterobacteriaceae. The record is from RNAcentral.
GUGCUGUGAGCUCGAUGAGUAGGGCGGGACACGUGGUAUCCUGUCUGAAUAUGGGGGGACCAUCCUCCAAGGCUAAAUACUCCUGACUGACCGAUAGUGAACCAGUACCGUGAGGGAAAGGCGAAAAGAACCCCGGCGAGGGGAGUGAAACAGAACCUGAAACCGUGUACGUACAAGCAGUGGGAGCCCCACCACCAAAGCGUUUCGCUUUGUGUGGUGCACAAAGAAGCGUAACGACAGCACUGACUGACGGUUAACGGAGCGUAAGCGACGUUCAACACAAAAAUCAGGCAGUGGAGCGCUUUGGGGUGGGGUGACUGCGUACCUUUUGUAUAAUGGGUCAGCGACUUAUAUUCUGUAGCAAGGUUAACCGAAUAGGGGAGCCGAAGGGAAACCGAGUCUUAAUUGGGCGUUAAGUUGCAGGGUAUAGACCCGAAACCCGGUGAUCUAGCCAUGGGCAGGUUGAAGGUUGGGUAACACUAACUGGAGGACCGAACCGACUAAUGUUGAAAAAUUAGCGGAUGACCUGUGGCUGGGGGUGAAAGGCCAAUCAAACCGGGAGAUAGCUGGUUCUCCCCGAAAGCUAUUUAGGUAGCGCCUCGUGAACUCAUCUCCGGGGGUAGAGCACUGUUUCGGCUAGGGGGCCAUCCCGGCUUACCAACCCGAUGCAAACUGCGAAUACCGGAGAAUGUUAUCACGGGAGACACACGGCGGGUGCUAACGUCCGUCGUGAAGAGGGAAACAACCCAGACCGCCAGCUAAGGUCCCAAAGUCAUGGUUAAGUGGGAAACGAUGUGGGAAGGCUCAGACAGCCAGGAUGUUGGCUUAGAAGCAGCCAUCAUUUAAAGAAAGCGUAAUAGCUCACUGGUCGAGUCGGCCUGCGCGGAAGAUGUAACGGGGCUAAACCAUGCACCGAAGCUGCGGCAGCGAACGUAUCACUUAAAGCGAUUCAGCGGGUGACGAUUGACGGAGCGAAGCGACGUCAAAGCGUAUACAAAGUCGAGUCGGUUUAAGGAUACGUU